This 73-nucleotide transfer RNA is filed under the name Nephila pilipes (giant wood spider). RNAcentral's name for it is "tRNA-Tyr". It matches the Rfam family "tRNA". Rfam says of the family: Transfer RNA (tRNA) molecules are approximately 80 nucleotides in length. The record is from RNAcentral. Lineage: Eukaryota; Metazoa; Arthropoda; Arachnida; Araneae; Nephilidae.
CCGUCGAUAGCUCAGUUGGCAGAGCGGCGGACUGUAGAUCCAUAGGUCGCUGGUUCAACUCCGGCUCGACGGA